Molecule: unclassified non-coding RNA, 893 nt
Filed under: Hevea brasiliensis (rubber tree)
Lineage: Eukaryota; Viridiplantae; Streptophyta; Magnoliopsida; Malpighiales; Euphorbiaceae
Source: RNAcentral
UUCAAAUCCCAAAAGAAUUUCUACAGAGAGUGAGAGAGAAAGUUGAAUUUCAAGGAGACGCAGACCAUAGAAAUGGGGGUGCGGGCUAACGUGCGCAGGGAGUUGGUGCUGCAAUUGUUGUUAACGCUUUGGAUUUGGGGAACUGUUCGGGUGAGUGAGGGAAUUUGGUUAAAUCUGCCGGCAUCGGGGACGAAGUGCGUUUCCGAGGAACUCCACACCAAUGUUGUCGUAUUAGCUGAUUAUGUUGUCGUUUCCGAGGACAACUCUCGCCUUCCCGCCAUCUCUAUCAAGGUGACGUCACCAUAUGGGAACAAUCUUCAUCAAAAGGAAAAUGUGACUCAUGGUCAAUUUGCAUUCACAACUCAAGAGGCUGGCAACUAUCUGGCUUGUUUCUGGGUGGGAGGCGAUAAUCAAGGAGGUGGAGAUGUAAGUGUCAACCUUGACUGGAAAACUGGAAUUGCAGCGAAGGAUUGGGAAUCAGUUGCAAGGAAAGAAAAGAUUGAGGGUGUUGAACUUGAGCUGAGAAAACUUGAAGGAGCAGUGGAGGCCAUCCAUGAGAAUCUACUCUACCACUCUAUCUCAAAAGCAGAGAAGCAGAGUUAAGGACUGUAAGCGAGACAACAAAUACCAGAGUAGCAUGGUUUAGUAUCAUGUCCUUGGGUCUCUGCAUCGUGGUCUCGGUUCUGCAGUUGUGGUAUCUGAAAAGUUUCUUCCGAAAGAAGAAGCUUAUCUAGAUAUUGCUAAUGAAUAGUAAAUUCCCCAGCUCUUUUAUUUUCCUUAAAUUCUUUGCUUUGUAUGUUGCAGAAGAAAAUUUUUGAUAAGAUGAAUGGAGAAUGUUAUUAUUCUCAUUGAAAGCGAGGCUCAUCAUCUUUAACGAUAUAGACUAAUGCAUC